This is a long non-coding RNA of Octopus sinensis (East Asian common octopus), 571 nucleotides long. RefSeq lists it as uncharacterized. The transcript has 3 exons. NCBI's taxonomy places the organism in Eukaryota, Metazoa, Mollusca, Cephalopoda, Octopoda, Octopodidae. The record is from RefSeq and is a predicted model, not a curated record.
CCGAUCCGUCCAUAUGACAUAUGUCUUGCCACUUCUAUGGAAGCUUCGGAGGAGUUCAAUCCCGACAGUCCUAUAAACAGGUUGAUUUGACUGGCAUGUCCGCAGUGUCACCUUCGGGCAUAGCCGGGAAAUUAUUUUAGCUGGUUGUGAAGAUGGGAAUUUAAAACUAUUUUCUUCUUGUAAUUUUUCUUUCGAGAGUUGCAUUCCCGCACAUUCUACAUGGAUUUCUUCAUGUCGUUUUAAUCCUCAGCAAACACACAUUUUGUCUUCAGCUGCUGACGGACUUGUCAAGCUGUGGAAUUUAUUUGAUGUCGACCUUGCCGAAUGUCUGACCACCAUAGAAGAACAUAGAAGUGUAGUUUGGGACUGUGCCUGGCAUUCAGGUGGAGAUUUCAUAGCAACUGCCUCGUUUGACGGGACAUCAAAAGUCAUCGAUCUUAACACUCAGCGUUGUCGUAGCAUUUUACGUUAUCACAAAAAUUCGAUAAACAGCGUUGAAUUUUUGCCAUUUUCGUGCACAAUCCUUACGGCGUCUGCUGACAAAACUAUGGUUAUAUGGGACGGAAGAACU